GUGGCAGAGCCUGUUGCUCCGAGGCCCGUGAUGAGCAGGACACUACCAGAUUAGACAGAACACAGAAGGAAGGAUGCCAUCACAGACACUCUGCUGUUCCCUACCCCAGGCACACAUAAGUUGGAGCAAGCCAGCCUGGUUCCCAGCAAGAGGCCCCAUCUACCUUUUUAGCUUUGCUGGAGAAGACAAGAAAGAGCAGGCGACAGAAGAGAAGGCACACCCUGAACGGUGGCCCACUGUGUGUGUCCCACAGUCCUCCGGUGGCUAGAGCUGAUGUCUGGGGCUUGGCUGCCAGCUACUGGUUACCCUUCUCACACUCCCUCAGGCUCCCCCAGGCUGGGCAGUGACUGGGACCCAACUGAUCACUCCGUUCCACGCCCCAGGCAGUGACUGGUGUGCAGAGGGCUGAUCCAAUCCUAGCCACAACGUUCACCACCCACUUUCAGCUCUUCUUUCUGAAGAUGAACCCAAAAAGACGGGAUUGUGGACUGGGACUCAGAGGAUGGUACCCACAGCUUCAAAGAUGCCCCCCUGAGUUUAAGACUGAACCAGCCCUGCAGAAGGAGACCUCAAAGAGAGGGCAAUGAGCUGAGUCCUCAGGUCCAUCACUUUCCUUGUUGCCCUAACAAAAUCCCUGACCAAGAGCUGCCCAAGGGAAGAGGGUUUACUUUGGUUCAAGAUUUAAGAGCACAGAGUCCAUUGUGGCUAGAAAGGCAUGGCUGAGUCCUGGCAGCAAAAGCAUCCAGUUAACACUCCACAUCUGGAAAGACCAGAAAGCAGAGAUGAUAGGAUGCUGGCACUAGAUUUCUUCCUUUUUCACUCUGCCAGGGACACCAGUUCAUGGGAGAUGACACCCACAUUCAGGACGAGUGUUCCUCUCUGGAAGGUCUACCUGAGGCUUGACCACCACAGACAUGCCGGAGAUGCCUCCUAGGAUAUUUCAAAUCCAUCCAGCUUGACAGACAGUCCUAAAGACCCCAUUUGAGUCCCGAAUCCAGCUGUUCUGAAGAUCGCCUUGAUGUUUUUCCAUCGUGGAUAUCGCAUGCAUUUCCUUUCUGAGAUGA
This is a non-coding RNA of Peromyscus maniculatus bairdii (prairie deer mouse), 1064 nucleotides long. The record is from RefSeq and is a predicted model, not a curated record. NCBI's taxonomy places the organism in Eukaryota, Metazoa, Chordata, Mammalia, Rodentia, Cricetidae.